RNAcentral lists this transfer RNA (58 nucleotides) under Ischnocnema parva. Its description in RNAcentral is "partial tRNA-Gln". The record is from RNAcentral. Lineage: Eukaryota; Metazoa; Chordata; Amphibia; Anura; Brachycephalidae.
UAAAGAAACAGGACUUGAACCUGCAAUUGAGAAAUCAAAACUCCCUGUAAUUCCAUUU